This is a small nucleolar RNA of Dioscorea cayenensis subsp. rotundata (Guinea yam), 108 nucleotides long. The record is from RefSeq and is a predicted model, not a curated record. Lineage: Eukaryota; Viridiplantae; Streptophyta; Magnoliopsida; Dioscoreales; Dioscoreaceae.
AAACUAAGGUUGAGGACAUUUUCGCAAGAGUUCCUUGAACCUUUCCCAUGUCUCAAAUAGAGACUCCAAUUUCAUUUGCACAAAGGAAGAGAUCUCAUUCCUAAGCUU